Molecule: ribosomal RNA, 66 nt
Filed under: Drosophila melanogaster (fruit fly)
Lineage: Eukaryota; Metazoa; Arthropoda; Insecta; Diptera; Drosophilidae
Description: partial ribosomal RNA large subunit
Source: RNAcentral
UAUUACAAAUAGUACUUGUUUUAUAUAGAAUUUAUUUUGUCAUUAAUUGGUAGUUUGUUAUUAAUU